RNAcentral lists this ribosomal RNA (435 nucleotides) under uncultured bacterium. Its description in RNAcentral is "partial 16S ribosomal RNA". It matches the Rfam family "Bacterial small subunit ribosomal RNA", at positions 28 to 507 of the family's 1533-position model. The record is from RNAcentral.
GAUGAACGCUGGCGGUAUGCUUAACACAUGCAAGUCGAACGGACUCUUCGGAGUUAGUGGCGGACGGGUGAGUAACGCGUGAGAAUCUGGCUUUGGGUUCGGGACAACCACUGGAAACGGUGGCUAAUACCGGGUGUGCCGAGAGGUAAAAGAGAAAUUGCCUGAAGAUGAGCUCGCGUCUGAUUAGCUAGUUGGUGAGGUAAAGGCUCACCAAGGCAGCGAUCAGUAGCUGGUCUGAGAGGAUGACCAGCCACACUGGGACUGAGACACGGCCCAGACUCCUACGGGAGGCAGCAGUGGGGAAUUUUCCGCAAUGGGCGAAAGCCUGACGGAGCAAUACCGCGUGAGGGAAGAAGGCUCUUGGGUUGUAAACCUCUUUUCUUAGGGAAGAACAAAAUGACGGUACCUAAGGAAUCAGCAUCGGCUAACUCCGUG